GCCGUAGGGGAACCUGCGGCUGGAUCACCUCCUUUCUAAGGAUGGUUCUUCAGAAGCUUGCUUCUAUCGAACCGUUUUAGAAACAUCAGUGGCCAACAGAUCGCCAGAUCGUUGAGCUGCAUUGGCGGGAUUUCGCCGUCUUCGUUUCUCUUUCUUCGCGGACGAACACGCGCUGGGCCUGCAUCGAGCAGGAUCCCACGGUCCCUGACGGGAUAUGCGUUAGGGGCUUGUAGCUCAGUUGGUUAGAGCGCGCGCUUGAUAAGCGUGAGGUCGGAAGUUCAAGUCUUCCCAGGCCCACCACUUUCAGUGAGCAUUCGUCUUCUGGUUACGGGGCCAUAGCUCAGCUGGGAGAGCGCGUGCUUUGCAAGCAUGAGGUCGUCGGUUCGAUCCCGUCUGGCUCCACCAGAUGGUUUGAUCACCGAGAUCUUGUACCGUCGUCCGCGAAACAUCACUUCGCAUCCUGCUAGUCUGGAUAGACAGCAAGAUGCGUGUUUUCUGACAUCGUAAAGAGGAGAUCGAUCCGAGUUGGGUCGUGCAGCAGAUUGUUGCGCGGAUCCUUCAUUAUCUCCGGAUCAUUUUCGGCGCUCGCUCUCAGCCGUGAGGUUGAAUGCGAGUUGUAAAAUGAUCCUUUUAGCGAAGCUUGACCGCCUCGCUAUCGGAACGAUCUUACGAAGCAAGCUGGUCUUUCUAGUCAAUGUCCGGCUGCACGUAGCAUUCAUCGAGGGUGCGCGCCUUAGAGACUUCGGUUUCUCGGCAAUCGUGCAGACAACAUUCUGCCGAGUGUGUGGACAUUGAUAAUGAGAGCAAUCAAGUGCCUUAAGGGUGUUCG
This 829-nucleotide transfer RNA is filed under the name Bradyrhizobium sp. Its description in RNAcentral is "partial 16S-23S ribosomal RNA intergenic spacer". The stretch from base 224 to 297 matches the Rfam family "tRNA". Lineage: Bacteria; Pseudomonadati; Pseudomonadota; Alphaproteobacteria; Hyphomicrobiales; Nitrobacteraceae. The record is from RNAcentral.